Molecule: long non-coding RNA, 1897 nt
Filed under: Lactuca sativa (garden lettuce)
Lineage: Eukaryota; Viridiplantae; Streptophyta; Magnoliopsida; Asterales; Asteraceae
Description: long non-coding RNA (LSAT_LNC001827)
Source: RNAcentral
UUUUACAGUUGUUAUCACAUCGUUCAAAAUUUGAAAUCCCUGAAAACAUAUCCUACUUCAAUCUUUCCUUCCUCUCUCCCCAUAAGAAGCCCUAACACGCAUCCACCUUGUCAUUUUAUACUGCCAUAUACAGAGAGGUGUUGAAGAUCGGAAAAUCUCUACACACACUCACCACUCUCGCUCAAUACAGGUUGAAAUCUCUGUACCCUUGAAGGUUUAAUCGUUUAAGCUACCACUCCCCGUGCCAUCACCAUCAACAACCACACAUCGCACCAUGCCAUCAGGAACCACUCUUCUGUUUUUUUUGUUUUCUAUUUUUGAAAAUCCAGUUACGCCUCCUCCUAACUCGAAAUCGAGUUUCAGUUGAUGGAGGUUUGCUCCUAUUUUUUUCCCUUUCUACUAUGGUGGUAGAGUCUUAGUCCCAAUAAUACGAUGUUGGAGUUCAGUUAUAUUCCAGUGAAAAAAAUUUACAGGAAGGGAGCCAAUCGCAAACCCUAGGCGAUUUCAUUUCUUCAAACAAAUAUGUUUAUGAAAUAUCUUUAAUUUCAUGUUUUAUUAUGUUGAAUUUCGUUUGUUUAGUUAACCAUGGAUAUUGUCAAAAAAAAUUCAGAGGAUAUGGCCGAGAUCUUGAUUUAUCUAUCUUUUGAUGUUUUUGUUAAUUUUAAUUUUAAUUUGCUAUAUAUUGUUCAUUCUUCAAAUUAUAAGGAUAGUUUUUUUUUUUGUUGUUACAGGAAAAUGAAUUUCACCGGCUGCUCCAAGUUUCAAAAACUAAGUCUAAUCACUUGCUGUCUUCUUAAUUUCCAUAAUAUGAAAAUUUUACCCAAUUAUGGUAUAGUAAUUUCAUAUUAUUUCUAUAAGCCAAUCUGUAAAGUUUUUUCUUAUUAUGUACUUUGAGAAGUUUGAAAUUACAACUUCUAGAGCAUGCUAUAUUUGUCUAAUAUUAUCCAUUUUGGUGUCAUUGUUGAUUGUAGGUAAAGUGGAUUUGUGUUGGCUUUGUUGGAAAUUGUGCAUACGUUUUUUUACUUUUGCUGAUUUUGUGAUGUAGGCCUUGCCGAAUUAGCAAAUUGCUGAUUACCCGAAUUAGCAAACUGCUAAUUACCCACCAAAAUUGGUUCCAGAACUGUUUGCAGCAAUAAUUUUGUUUUGGAUUCAGGUACUAUAAUUUUGUUUUAUUUAGUUCUAAAUUAUAAAUAAUAAAAUGAAUAACUUUUGAUUCUCAAGUCCGUUUUAACCAUUGUAAUCAUUGCAUUUAUUUAAUCUAUUAUUUAGUUAUCAUAGUUUUAGGUCACAUGUAUGUAGGUUUAUUUUUUAUUGCUAUAAAGCACAAAGAAAUGAUAGUAGGAUGCUAUAAAGCACAAAGAAAUGGAAGUAUGUUGCUUUAUUUUUUAUUUUUUUGGGCUAUUAGCUGCCAAAAGGCCAAAUUUGUUUAAUGUCAAAAGGCCAAAGUUUUGUUUUAUUUUGUCAAACUAAUGGAUUUUGUUCUUCCUGUAUCUAGGUUGGAGAUAACUUUAGUAAAUUUGGGGUUUUGCAUUUUUUUUGCUACCUAAUUCUAAUGCUACCAUUUACUUUUAUGUGUUUUGUAAUGAAAUACUCUUAUACUUUGAAUAAGAUGGGAGUUAGUUACUUACAUAUUUUCUUUCUUGCAAGCGUGUACUGAUGCAAAAUAUGUAUGAAGAUACCACGAUUUUAAAACUCAAAAAUACUAAAAUUUCUAUUUAUAUAGACAUAGAAAUUAAUCAUAAAAAGGUUAUUUUAUGAUUCAAAUAUAAAUGAGCAAUGAUAGUACCCAUUAAAAAUGAUGAUUUUGCUUUCAUGUUUUUGUCAUUUCCGUGUAAGUACGAGUGUUUGAUACUUUCUUUGGAUAUAUUGUAAAAAAUAUAUUAAUUUGUUUUAACAC